GGCGGGAGGCGGGAGGCGGGCCGGAAAGUUUGUCGGGCGGCCGAGGCGGGGACUCCGGCGGGGGAUGAGCGGCGGCCCGAGCGCCCCCAGCCCGCAAGGGAGUCGUGCUCGCCAUGGGGCGUCCCCAACUGCUCCUGCCCCUGUGUGCCUCUGUGUCUUUGCUGGGUGGCCUGACCUUCGGUUAUGAACUGGCAGUUGUAUCAGGUGCCCUGCUGCCCCUGCAGCUUGACUUCGGGCUUUCCUGCUUGGAGCAGGAGCUCCUGGUGGGCAGCCUGCUCCUGGGGGCUCUCCUUGCCUCCCUGGUGGGGGGCGUCCUCAUCGACCAGUAUGGCAGGAAACAAGCCAUCCUCGGCAGCAAUGUGGUGCUUCUGGCAGGCAGCCUGAGCCUCGGCCUGGCUGGCUCCCUGGCCUGGCUUGUCCUGGGCCGCUUGAUGGCUGGCUUUGCCAUCUCCCUCUCCUCCAUGGCCUGCUGUAUUUAUGUGUCAGAGCUGGUGGGGCCCCGGCAGCGGGGAGUGCUGGUGUCCCUCUAUGAGGCUGGCAUCACCCUGGGCAUCCUGCUCUCCUAUGCACUCAACUACGCAUUGGCUGGUUCCCCGGGGGGGUGGCGGCAUAUGUUCGGCUGGGCCGCAGCACCUGCUCUUCUGCAGUCCCUCAGCCUCUUCUGUCUCCCUGCUGGGACCACUGAGGCUGCAGCCCACAAGGACCUCAUUCCUCUCCAGGGAGGUGAGGCCACCAAGCUGGGGAGGCCAAGAUACUCCCUUCUGGACCUCUUCAGGGCCCGGGAUAACAUGCGAGGCCGGACCAUGGUGGGGCUGGGGCUGGUGAUUUUCCAGCAACUAACGGGGCAGCCCAACGUGCUGUGCUAUGCUUCUACCAUAUUCCACUCAGUCGGUUUCCGUGGGGGCUCCUCAGCUGUGCUGGCCUCUGUGGGACUCGGCGCCGUGAAGGUGGUGUCCACCCUGACGGCCCUGGGGCUGGUGGACCGAGCGGGCCGCAGGGCCCUGUUACUGGCUGGCUGUGCCCUCAUGGCCCUGUCGGUCAGCGGCAUCGGGCUCGUCAGCUUCGCCGCACCCAUGGACUCCAGCCCAAGUUGCCUGGCCCUACCCAACGCCAGCAGGCCGGUAGGCCUCUCUGGAGACUCGAGCCUGCCAGGGGCCGUCAUAAGUCCACUUCCACUGCCAGCGACCAGUGAGAACCAAGGGAAGCCAGUCCCCCCAACCUCUACGAAAAUCAAGCCUCAUCCCAGAGCUGGGAACCGCACAGCCCCUCCCCUGCCGGCCUUAGGCACUGCCGCCCCUGCGCCCCGUUCUGCCCCCGAGCUCGCCCUGCUGCACUGGACCGCGCUGGUCUGCAUGAUGGUCUUUGUGAGCGCCUUCUCCUUUGGGUUUGGACCAGUGACCUGGCUUGUCCUCAGCGAGAUCUAUCCCGUGGAGAUCCGAGGCAGAGCCUUCGCCUUCUGCAACAGCUUCAACUGGGCCAGCAACCUCCUUGUCAGCCUCUCCUUCCUCCACCUCAUCGGCACCAUCGGCUUGUCCUGGACCUUCCUGCUCUACGGGCUGACGGCUGUCCUCGGCCUGGGCUUCAUCUAUGCAUUUGUCCCUGAAACAAAAGGCCAGUCCUUGGCAGAGAUAGACCAGCAGUUCCAGAAGAGACGGUUCACCCUGAGCUUUGGCCACAGGCAGAGCUCCACCAGCAUCCCGUACACCCGCAUCGAGGUCUCUGCCACCUCUUGAGGAGUCCAUCUGCCUGGAAGAUGCUGGAACCAUGGCUUUAGCCGACAGUCUCCAGCUUCCUGCUUGCCUGGCUCCUACAGCACAAGGUCUCGGAGGUCCUGAGGAUCUUCAGCUGGUCCCAUUCAGCUAGUCAGGGCCUGAGGGGGAGGUUUCUGCUCACCCUCAGUUACCCAGGUCCCCAUCUUUGGGACAUUGUUAAGGGUCAGCCCCCGACGGGUGAGUCAGAUGGAGACUGAGCAAGGAGCUCAAGCCAGAAGUCACCAGAGGAAGGGCCUGGCAAGAGUGAGUUGCUGGAUGCUGAGGAAAAUGAAGAGCUAAAGCAGACCCAGGGAGCUGGUGUGGGACAACACUUCGUCAUCUGUGCCUGCUGCAAGCCCCCAGGACUCUGGCCUCUCAUCUUCUCUCCUCCUGUUCUAGAUGCUUCCCUCGUACCCAGUGGUGUGCGGGAGGCUCCUCCUACUACCUUGUGAGAGCCCAUUGUUAAGUUUUUGGGACUUUUGCCAACUGGUUGUUAAACACAGCCUUUUAAAGAUAUUAAAUUAUUGAAUAUUUCAAUAAAUUAUAUUAAAAGCAAAAGUAAUAAAUACUAAAACCUCCUCACUUCCUUGUUUUGCUACAUUUCACUAUCAUCUGUGCUCUUGAGGUUACUUGCAUAUAAUGUGUCUUAUGAGAGACACGGGAGAUCCUGAUUCUGCGUACAAGGCGUCAUGCCCAUGGGAGGUGACUUGGCAGCACAGGGAUGGGGAAACACUGCAAGGCAGGGCUUGACUUACUGUUUCCUUGAUGCUCCAGCCUUAAGAAUGUGAUGGAUAAAAUGUUAACAAUGCAAAUUAACCUUGCGAGUGUGUCUGUCAUGUCUGUAGCUGAGACACGGUGAGUGGCACUAAAAAUUGAGGGAAUAUUCUUUCACUCUGAACGCUAUUACCCAAUGCAACAAACAAGUUGCCCACAUCAUCGAUGAAGGUGUUCUGACCUACAUCUUCCUUGUUUUACUUUGUCUGACUCAUUAACGUCAACAAAAAUUUCAACCCACGUUCAUGUUGAAACUUCCCUCGCUCUGCAGAGACAGGAUGGGAUCUUUUGCUGAGUCGGAUUGUUGUCCAGCAUUUAUUCCUAGUCUGAUUUUGUCAAGUCGUGGCGAAAUUGCAGUGAUAGUUGGUUUUGGAUACAAGAAUUUGGCAAAAAAAAAAAAAAAAUCAACAAAAUCCAUCUGCGAGAAUGAAUUGGCUUAUAUAGAAUUUAUAAAGAAUAUUUACAACAGUGUGUUAUUAUUUAUAAAUUUGUAAAUUUAUAAAUUAUAAAUUUUUAAAUUUUGUGUAAUAAACACAUAAAAUCUAUACACACACACACACACUUGUUCUCCUGGAGAACAGUGGUUCAACACUGCCCAGCACGCCACUCCUUUUAUCUGUCCUUAUGGUGCCUUCAGAUCCAAAUCUGUCUACAGAGACCCCCAGGCCUCUCUCAAUUCCCCUUUCCUAUCAGCCUAGAGAAUGCUUAGACUAGUCUUAGAUUGGUCAGGAUCAUAAACUCAGCGGUCAGGCCGGGAAUGUAAAUGAUGGGAGCCCUGUGGUAAGACAGCAGGGAGGAGUGAGGUCUGUGGACACGGGCAAACACAGGCCCUCUCUAAAAGGGGAAGCUGCCCAAUUCCAGCUGGUGCCUGCCAUGUAGGAACAUGGGCCUAUCCGUGGCCUGACCAUCUGUAUUUUCAAGAAAAUCCAGAAAUUCAGACCUUGGUGCAAAAUUUCCUGAUUUAUUAAUAGUGGCAAUUGGUUCUUAAGUGAAAAAUAGCUUUUAAGCUCAACAGAACACGCCUGUGGCUAAAUCAUGACCUUCCGUUUGUGCCUCAGCUCUUGAAAGCUUUCCCUCUGAGAUACUCCUCUUCUCUGGAUUCUUGAGGCUCUCAGCUUAAUCUCUGUAAAGAGUCAUGGCUUUGGAAAUCAAUGCCAAGAAUAUUGAGUAGCCAAGCAUCAUGAAUUGAGUAAGUUGGAGGGGGUGUUAUUGAACACGGAGGAAGGCAUCAUGGAGGGAAGAAAUGGUUCAUAUGGCAAACACAGAACUGGCACAGUUAGGUGUGGGACUUGGUAAUGGCUCAUCUGUGUAUCAGGGAUGAUGCCAUUAACUAUUUAGAGAUGACAUAUAUCAAUCACUAGUUCCAAGCUGGGCCCA
Mirounga angustirostris (Northern elephant seal) is the source of this 3902-nucleotide RNA transcript. It is a transcript of the gene named solute carrier family 2 member 10, with no coding region annotated. NCBI's taxonomy places the organism in Eukaryota, Metazoa, Chordata, Mammalia, Carnivora, Phocidae. The record is from RefSeq and is a predicted model, not a curated record. The transcript has 6 exons.